AACCUAGCACACCUGCGGUGUGUACCUGCGGAGGGAUCAUUACCGAGUUUACAAACUCCCAACCCUUUGUGAACCUUACCAUAUUGUUGCUUCGGCGGGACCGCCCCGGCGCCUUCGGGCCCGGAACCAGGCGCCCGCCGGAGGCCCCAAACUCUUAUGUCUUUAGUGGUUUUCUCCUCUGAGCGACACAUAAACAAAUAAAUAAAAACUUUUAACAACGGAUCUCAGAUCGGAAGAGCA
RNAcentral lists this unclassified non-coding RNA (240 nucleotides) under soil metagenome. Its description in RNAcentral is "partial contains 5.8S ribosomal RNA, internal transcribed spacer 2, and large subunit ribosomal RNA". The record is from RNAcentral.